Molecule: ribosomal RNA, 349 nt
Filed under: uncultured bacterium
Lineage: Bacteria
Description: bacterial SSU rRNA
Rfam family: Bacterial small subunit ribosomal RNA
Source: RNAcentral
AGAGUUUGAUCAUGGCUCAGGAUGAACGCUAGCUACAGGCUUAACACAUGCAAGUCGAGGGGCAGCAUGUUGGUUGCUUGCAACCAACGAUGGCGACCGGCGCACGGGUGAGUAACGCGUAUCCAACCUACCCUUGUCCAUCGGAUAACCCGUCGAAAGGCGGCCUAACACGAUAUGCGGUUCACAGCAGGCAUCUAACGUGAACGAAAUGUGAAGGAGAAGGAUGGGGAUGCGUCUGAUUAGCUUGUUGGCGGGGUAACGGCCACCAAGGCUACGAUCAGUAGGGGUUCUGAGAGGAAGGUCCCCCACAUUGGAACUGAGACGCGGUCCAAGCUCCGUACGGGAGGCA